GAUGAACGCYGGCGGCGUGCYUAACACAUGCAAGUCGAACGAAGCACUUGUAUUUGAUUCUUCGGAUGAAGAUACUUGUGACUGAGUGGCGGACGGGUGAGUAAYGCGUGGGUAACCUGCCUCAUACAGGGGGAUAACAGUUAGAAAUGGCUGCUAAUACCGCAUAAGCACACAGUGUUGCAUGACACAGUGUGAAAAACUCCGGUGGUAUGAGAUGGACCCGCGUCUGAUUAGCUGGUUGGUGGGGUAACGGCCUACCAAGGCGACGAUCAGUAGCYGACCUGAGAGGGUGACCGGCCACAUUKGGACUGAGACACGGCCCAAACUCCUACGGGAGGCAGCAGUGGGGAAUAUUGCACAAUGGGGGAAACCCUGAUGCAGCGACGCCGCGUGAGCGAAGAAGUAYUUCGGUAUGUAAAGCUCUAUCAGCAGGGAAGAAGAGACGGACCWRYUUU
RNAcentral lists this ribosomal RNA (455 nucleotides) under uncultured bacterium. RNAcentral's name for it is "bacterial SSU rRNA". It matches the Rfam family "Bacterial small subunit ribosomal RNA", at positions 28 to 465 of the family's 1533-position model. The record is from RNAcentral.